AAGGUCUUAAGUUAAAAAAACUGGUAACCUUCAAAGUUAUAAAUAAAAUAAAAUUUUAGACCUUA
This 65-nucleotide transfer RNA is filed under the name Physemacris variolosa. RNAcentral describes it as "tRNA-Trp". Lineage: Eukaryota; Metazoa; Arthropoda; Insecta; Orthoptera; Pneumoridae. The record is from RNAcentral.